GAAACGGUGGCUAAUACCGGGURUGCCGAAAGGUGAAAGGUUAACUGCCUGGAGAUGAGCUCGCGUCUGAUUAGCUAGUUGGUAGGGUAAAAGCUUACCAAGGCGACGAUCAGUAGCUGGUCUGAGAGGACGAUCAGCCACACUGGGACUGAGACACGGCCCAGACUCCUACGGGAGGCAGCAGUGGGGAAUUUUCCGCAAUGGGCGAAAGCCUGACGGAGCAAUACCGCGUGAGGGAGGAAGGCUCUUGGGUUGUAAACCUCUUUUCUCAGGGAAGAAUAAUGACGGUACUUGAGGAAUAAGCAUCGGCUAACUCCGUGCCAGCAGCCGCGGUAAUACGGAGGAUGCAAGCGUUAUCCGGAAUGAUUGGGCGUAAAGCGUUCGCAGGUGGCAUUGAAAGUCUGCUGUCAAAGAGUCUGGCUCAACCAGAUACAGGCAGUGGAAACUUCAAAGCUAGAGUGCGGUAGGGGCAGAGGGAAUUCCUGGUGUAGCGGUGAAAUGCGUAGAGUUCAGGAAGAACACCGGUGGCGAAAGCGCUCUGCUAGGCCGCAACUGACACUGAGGGACGAAAGC
RNAcentral lists this ribosomal RNA (573 nucleotides) under Rhizonema sp. 'cyanobiont of Coccocarpia palmicola'. Its description in RNAcentral is "SSU rRNA". It matches the Rfam family "Bacterial small subunit ribosomal RNA", at positions 153 to 760 of the family's 1533-position model. RNAcentral also lists the same sequence under 1 other name. The record is from RNAcentral. Lineage: Bacteria; Bacillati; Cyanobacteriota; Cyanophyceae; Nostocales; Rhizonemataceae.